Long non-coding RNA from Daphnia pulex (common water flea), 861 nucleotides. RefSeq lists it as uncharacterized. The transcript is spliced from 4 exons. Lineage: Eukaryota; Metazoa; Arthropoda; Branchiopoda; Diplostraca; Daphniidae. The record is from RefSeq and is a predicted model, not a curated record.
AGUGUGUUUAGGGAUUGAACUAUUCAGCCUGUGUUGGUAGAGGGAUGUACUGGAGGGGGGGUCGCCACAGUUUUGAGACGAGAAACCACUUGUCGUUCUAUUUCUUUCGAGACGCUGGCCGAGAAGGUUACUCUAGUCAUUAUUGCUGGGUACUUUCUUUCCUGAAUCCUGACUUAGUUCUUCAUAAAAAGGUUGGUUGAGAUUGUUCUCAAUGUGGGAUGCCAAAUCAACAAGAUGAGAUGAGAUGCCUCUACCAUGUUGCGAGAUGAAAAUGUGCACACUAGGCGAGCUGAAAUGGUUUCAUUGGUUAGAGAAAGUUUGAGCUGUUCAUGGUUGUGAUGUUUGGUGUGGCAGUCAUUUUCUGAUUGAGACGUGCACUGAAAUGGAUCUUCUACAGACUUGCGUGUUGGUUCAACAUCAUACUUCCAUUUACCAUGUUGGUGUCCAUGCAGAGUUGAGCUGUUGUGCAAAAUAAUAGGUGUUGCCUCAUGGCUUUCUGGUAAUUUGUUGGUGUGUUCUUCUGCUACCUGUAUCUAUGUUGAGUUCAAUCGAACGGCGCCGUUCCGGACUUGAUACAUUGGUGAAGCUAAGAAGAGGUUGCUGAACUUCAAAGAGAUUGAAAAAUUAUAUAAUCCUAGAGAUUUUUCAAAUUCAUAUCUGUUCUCUCUUUCCCCAAGUAAACAAAAUUUCCUCCUAGGUAGUUGUGUGGAUGGGGAAUUGUAAUAAGAUUUUAUAUUUUCUGUGAGAAGCUCAGUUAAAACCAUAAAAAUCUUGUGUACUGAUUAACUUACAUCUACCAUAACAAACCUGAAAUAAUCAAUAAUACCACCUUGUUAUAAAAAUAAAUUAUUGAAAUCAUAA